This is a non-coding RNA of Pelobates cultripes (western spadefoot toad), 348 nucleotides long. The record is from the annotation of a GenBank genome assembly. Lineage: Eukaryota; Metazoa; Chordata; Amphibia; Anura; Pelobatidae.
CUCAUUGUUCAGUAAUAAGCAUUUGUUUUUAAACUCAGAGCCAAUUCAUUGAUUGAAUAAUCAGAUUCCACAGGUAUGUAUCAUCCUCCCUGUUGCAUGGUUUCCAUAGCAGAUUGUGUUAUGAGGUUCUUCAUCUCAUGCCACCAACGUCUGAAAUAAAUGAACAAACGGGCAUCGGCACAAUGUAACUCGAUCUUAAUCUUCAAUGGGUUUAGGUUAUUAAAUGAACAAUGAGCAUAAUGGUUAGGUGUAACCGUCUUUUCGAAAGAGGAUCCUUCCACUGAGAGGAUGAAGAUUGACCUGAACAGGUGGCUCUUUACAAAUCUAAUUGAUUGGCACAAACAAAAU